Molecule: long non-coding RNA, 1364 nt
Filed under: Anas platyrhynchos platyrhynchos (common mallard)
Lineage: Eukaryota; Metazoa; Chordata; Aves; Anseriformes; Anatidae
Description: lncRNA (ENSAPLG00000012082.2)
Source: RNAcentral
AUGAGCACCUUGCAGCUGCUAGGAUUGGAAGAAGGAACAACAAUUGCCAACAAGGAGCAUGUGGUGACAAGAGGAACCUACCUGUCCUUUCUUCUCCUACGUCACCUGAGGCUCCGAGAGCUAAAGCGAGUAUGCCUGGGGAUCCUGAACUAUUUUAGGUCUGUGGAGAGAAGCCUGACCAUCAGUACCUCAGGCCUCUCCUUCAAGGCUGGUCAUCUAAUUCCCUGCGCAGAAGACACCUCCUGGGUCAAUGCUGCCAAAGGAGGCACUGGCGUUUCUGGUGGCUUAUGCUCUCAGCCCUAUAUUCACUACACGCCAGCUGACUACAAGGUGAGUGGUCAGCCUAGCCGUAAGCCUAGCGGACCUAGCUCUAAUUAGACAUCAAGGUUUGCAGACCUAGCCUUAAGUCUCCCAAAGCAUGUGCUUCAGUAGAAGUGUCUAAUCUCUCCUUCUACUUCCAUGCAAACUGUGUUGUGAUAAAUUGCUGAGUCACCUGAGGGAUUUUUGCUGAGUCACCUGAGGGAUUUGGUGUAACUUGCUCCUCAAAACCAUGUGUCUUGCGUUUAUGGACUUUGUACCUAUAUCUGCCAGCGGUCUGUAACAAACCCAUGAGACACUUCAGGCAUGCAAUACUUUAGUGUGAGUAACGCUGGCCAGAUAACCAUUAACUCAGACUAGCGCUGCUGACUCGCUUGAAGUAAGACCUUUAUGUGUGGGAUUUUCACACAGUAGAUGUUCCUGAGAAAUCUGAGGUAUUUUGUGAUCUAAGGAAACGAUUUAUUUAGAUGUAGGUACAGUUUAAGGUUUGUUUUGAACCUUAGAUGAGAGUAUGUGGUUGAACUGAUAAAAUUAGUACACUUACCUUCACAGACUGGAAAAAAAUCAUUUCAAUUAAAUUCCUAAGCUUUAUCAAGCUUUUGUUCCCCACCCUUUUUUUUGUAAAAUAUACCAAGCAGAAUGAACAUAUCAUGCUGGUAUUAGUGGUUUGAUGUGAUAAAAUGUCUUGUCUUUUGAACUGUAAAAUUUCUUUUAAUCUCUGCUACCUAAAACUCAGGUCAGAAUUCUCAUAUAAAAAUCCUAAAGAAACACUAUAGCACUUUACUUCUUCACCACUUUACUGAAGACUUGUUUGCUUGUUUUUGCUGUAGAAACGCAUAGAAACAAGCACAUUGCUACUUCAUGGAGGAAUUAUGGCUAUUACUGAAAAGGAAAUAGGUUUCCUGCCCACAUUUUUUCUAACAUUAGGACUUAAACAAACAAAAAAACCCACCCACCCUCAAAAAAACCUUCCUGUCUCUAAAUAUGACAAAAGUCUAAACCUCUUUAGAAAUAAAAUCUUUGGGGAGGAAAUGAAGUUGCUGAUA